UAAAAAUUAUUUAGGGUUCUUAAUCAUAUAAUGUUCAUUGCGAUGCUAUAAUUACCGAUAUGUGUUAUGUUGGUAGUUUCUAUACAAAUUAAAUUUAAUGGUGGAAUAAUACUUGUUAAAGGAAUUUGGAUUUUUUUGAAAAUUCUAGGAAUUUGGGUUUAAUGCAAGUGUUCCAUGAAAAUUGUUACACUAUGAUAAUAGAGUUGCUUUGGGGUCUAAACAAUUUUUUUUUUUUUUUUUUUUUUCUAGACAGUUGUGGAAGCUUCAACCUUUAGUUUCCUUGUAUUUGAUUGAAGCUUACCCAACUUGGAGUCCAUGUGAUCUAUUCGAUAAAUGGGCUAUUAAAUUUUUUGGUAUAAUUUGAUUAUUAUUUCUCUCCGUUACCGUAAAUUGUUAUUUAUAUUUGUGUUAAUAUAAUUAAUGAGUAAUGUAGCCAUGUAUAGUUGGAGAAUUUGUUAAGCAAGAAAGCUUAUGUUGGUAAAUAUUGCACAAACACUUCGAGAAAUACAGGUGGGAGUUAUGAAAAUAUAUUUUCUAGUUAGCUCCUUCUUCCUAUUAUUUAGCAAUGUUAAUAAAUCUUACUUUUUUCCUAUUGAAUUCAAUGUCAGUUACCUUUGACUGAAAUUUCUGUACUUAUGUGUUGGAAACAUAAAUAAUUUGUGAGGGAGGGCAAAGUAGAGCCUUGCAAUGACACAACGGCACCAGCAAGAGGGCACAACAGAACCGCCUGACAGGAGCACAUUAUCAUAUUUUAAGCAGGGGAAACCAACUAUUGUAUACAAUCAGCUAUCUAUUAUAUAUGAACAACCUCUCCAUAAUGGUAUGAAAUUGCAUUUUCUCAUACAACAUGUUAUUAAUUGAUAAUAAAAUAAAUAAAAUGAAAUUUUCAGCUUGUUCUGGUUUUGUGAUUUUGCUCUCAGGAUCUCCAAAGCACCUGGCAACAAUUGGAGCAAAAAAUAUUUGAAAGAAGUAGCAAAAACAGGUUGGACAUAUAAAUUCAUACUUAUAAACGUUGAAAUUGAUGUACUCUUUUUUCUUUUUCAUUUUUUUUCUUUUUUUUUUUCCGGUUUACAUGGAUUAUUUAAUUUUUGAUUCAUGUGUAGGAAAGUUAUUGUACUAGUUGAUGGUACAAGAGAUUGUUUUGAUACUUUUGUUAACGGUGGAGACUUUAUUGUAAUAGUUGAUGGUAAAUAGAUUUUUUUUGA
Molecule: non-coding RNA, 1205 nt
Organism: Erythranthe guttata (spotted monkey flower)
Lineage: Eukaryota; Viridiplantae; Streptophyta; Magnoliopsida; Lamiales; Phrymaceae
Source: RefSeq, a predicted model, not a curated record